Clupea harengus (Atlantic herring) is the source of this 1051-nucleotide long non-coding RNA. Lineage: Eukaryota; Metazoa; Chordata; Actinopteri; Clupeiformes; Clupeidae. The record is from Ensembl.
UGUGAGUAGGGUCAGGACCCCGUCCUGUCCCUGUCCUCUCGGUGUAGGUGUUGCAGUGACCCCUUUGCCUCCUGGGGUUCGGGCCCUGGGGUUGGGUAAAGGUUAGGGCCCUCGGUUGGGUAAAGGUUAGGGGUUAGCCCACGUUUCCACCAGUUUUGAGCGGAACGAUUGGAACCAAGGAUGUGUCAUCAAUGGAGGGCGUGGCCAAACGGAAGUAAGCAAACGCAGUGAGAGGCCGGAUCGGACCACACUAAUGACCUGCGAGCGAACGGCGUCGUCACGGACCACACUGAGUACCUGCGAGCGAACGGCGUUGUCACGGUUCGCACUGGGAAAAACUGACAAUCUUUUGGUUCCGAACUGUUCAGGUUCCGAACCAAUUUAUUUUUGGUCAACAUGCCCCGAAAAGUUCAUAAUUUGGUGCGCAAACCAGAACAGGACGCCAUUCCCUGUUGGUGGAAAAGAGGUAGGAGUGUGUCUGCUCUGCCACUGCCUCACUCUAGGGGGCAGCAGCGAGCUCAUGGCUGACUGGUGCUGCUGUGGUAGUCGAGACCAUAGACAUAUAUACCUAUAUGUAUAUAUGUCUAUGGUCGAGACUAGAGCCCAGCCAGUCUCUACAGGCAAUGCAAGCAAGGUGUGUGUGUGUAAGACUGCAGACAACGCAAGUUUUCUUUUUUCUUUUUCUUUUUUUUUUUUACAAAAGCUUUCAAAUGUUUUAUUUUUCAUACAAGACUCUUUCAGCAAAAAGAUGUACAUUUUGUUAACAGCUAUUUUUUUUGCAUUAUAUCAAAGUGUAGUGUUUGUUUGUUUUAAGAAACCUGCCACUUACAAGUUUUGUACAGUGGAAGAGAGCAAACCUUCACAUAAAAAUCAAGCAAAACAUCAAGCAAAGAGUUACAUGUUUGUUUGUUUGUUUGUUUGUUUGUUUGUUUAUUACAAACGCAUUGCUGUGACGCCUCAGGCCACAGAACCUCAGAGCUUCUCACACCGACCCAAAGGCUGAGUGUGUGUGUGUGUGGUUCUAAUAUUCAGAAACAUAUCUGCAUCAGAC